RNAcentral lists this long non-coding RNA (439 nucleotides) under Homo sapiens (human). Its description in RNAcentral is "non-protein coding lnc-CDY1-2:2". Lineage: Eukaryota; Metazoa; Chordata; Mammalia; Primates; Hominidae. The record is from RNAcentral.
GAGUUCAUCAUCUCGGAGCCGCUGGCCAAUCUGUACUCAUGUGGGGACCAGAACACACUGAUGGAGGAGUUGGCAAAGCAGGCACAGCAGCGCGACAAGAUGCUGUGCAUGCACCACGCGCUGAAGGAGGCAAAUGACAUCAACAGGUGACAUCAACAGGACCACCGUCAGCAUGCCCAUGCCCCCGCCUGUGGAUGACACCUGGCUGCAGGUGCAGAGUGUCCCUGUGCCUUGCAGGUCACCCAAGUCCAGCCCCAGGAUGCCCAGACCCUGCCAUGUCCCUAGCCCGGCCUGGGUGGCGGGCCCAGCUCUUGGGCUUCCUCUUGCCAGGUCCACCCUUGGGGAAGCGUGCCCUGUACCCUCCAGGCUAGAGGCUUCCCCUGAUCCCUUCGGCCCCUACCCCACCAGGUGCACUCAUGCCCCACCCGGGGUCUCCAGG